AGAGUUUGAUCCUGGCUCAGAUUGAACGCUGGCGGCAGGCCUAACACAUGCAAGUCGAACGGUAACAGGAAGCAGCUUGCUGCUUCGCUGACGAGUGGCGGACGGGCGAGUAAUGUCUGGGAAACUGCCUGAUGGAGGGGGAUAACUACUGGAAACGGUAGCUAAUACCGCAUAACGUCGCAAGACCAAAGAGGGGGACCUUAGGGCCUCUUGCCAUCGGAUGUGCCCAGAUGGGAUUAGCUAGUAGGUGGGGUAACGGCUCACCUAGGCGACGAUCCCUAGCUGGUCUGAGAGGAUGACCAGCCACACUGGAACUGAGACACGGUCCAGACUCCUACGGGAGGCAGCAGUGGGGAAUAUUGCACAAUGGGCGCAAGCCUGAUGCAGCCAUGCCGCGUGUAUGAAGAAGGCCUUCGGGUUGUAAAGUACUUUCAGCGGGGAGGAAGGGAGUAAAGUUAAUACCU
This 464-nucleotide ribosomal RNA is filed under the name uncultured bacterium. Its description in RNAcentral is "bacterial SSU rRNA". It matches the Rfam family "Bacterial small subunit ribosomal RNA", at positions 8 to 468 of the family's 1533-position model. The record is from RNAcentral.